GCCCUCAAAAUAUUGGAACAAAACAGUCUUUGCUGUAUAAAGUUUAUGUCCUACUGGAAGAAGACGUGAAAUGAGCACACAAACAGUGUGGUGACCUAGAAAGUAACACAUGGCAUGGAGAAAAUAGAAUAGGAUUAAGGAAGAUGAGAGGGUAAAGGGGCCGGUUGCACCUUUUAAAUAGGAUUGUCAGAGUAGCCUUCAUUGAAAAAGUUAAAUUAAGCAGAGAUUUGAAAGAGGUAAUGGGUAAACUAUGCAGUUAUUUGAGGGAAGAGCUGCUCAUCUGAGUAAAGCUGGUUAUCUAGGAGAAAAGCUGCCCAAGCAACAGAAACAUAGAAUUCCAAGACUCGUAGUCUAGAGCAACCAUGGUAUGUUUGUGUAACACCAUGGAAGCCAGGAGUAAUAUGAGAAAGGAGGAGAGUAGGUGGGGGAAGGGUUUAGACAUAGCAGAUUGUGUAGGAUUUUGUAAGAACUUAGGCUUUUAUGUGAGAUGCACAUCUGGAGGAUUUUGAGAAAAGAAACAACAUGAUUUGACUUACAUUUUGAAAGCAUCAUUCAGGCUCUUCUUUGGAGAAUAGACUUUAUUUAGGGGAAGGAAAGUGAAAGGGGAGAAAUGACAAUGGCUUCAACUAGAGUAGUUCUAAGGGAGGUAGUGAGAAGUGAUCAGAUUCUUUUGCAAGGUGGAGUUCCUGAUGAUUGAAUGAAGCGCAUGAGAGAGAGAAGUCGAGGAUGACCCCAAGACUUUUGAACUAAGCGACUGGACGGAUGGGGUUACCAUCAAUUGAGAUGAGAGAGACUUCAGGUAGAGCAAAUUUGAAGGGAUAUUGAAAACAUCAAAACUGCAUUCUCCAGAAUACAAACUCCAUCAAAACCUGCUAUGAAGCUUUCUGACAUAUGAGCUACCCUGAAAUACAACUCUUGGACGCCGGAUGAAUUCAACGAUACAAACUAAUAAAUGACCAAAGUUCUGUUCAGAAUAUUGGAUCUAUCAUUUUACAAUAUGACUUAAGCUCUUUGUAUCACAAAACUAUUCCAAAGGCACAAAAUAUGAAUCCAUUGCAUAAGAACAAGGGGCACCAGUUUGGGCGUUGGAAGAUGUUUUAUUUACAAUGUGGUAUAAAUCUUUGACAAACACCAAGUUAAUUAAUGCUUCCUGAACUUGAAUUAUGCCAUAUAAUUUGUUGGUAAGAACUGCU
Long non-coding RNA from Zalophus californianus (California sea lion), 1193 nucleotides. RefSeq lists it as uncharacterized. The record is from RefSeq and is a predicted model, not a curated record. Lineage: Eukaryota; Metazoa; Chordata; Mammalia; Carnivora; Otariidae. The transcript is spliced from 3 exons.